GGCUCACCCUUCCUGGGGACUUCCUCUCAUCUCACAGUUCGGUUAACCAGUCCGCGCCCUCGGCACCUCCUGCGUGCUCCCUCUGCCGCCCAGGCCCCUCGCCGUGGCUCCCGCUUGCCUCGCCCCGCCCUGCCCUCCCGCUUCUGCACUCCUCGGGCUCCUGGCUGGACACAGGUGCAUGGGUCCUUAGCCCAAGGGAGGGGUGGUCCUCUCUGCGUCCAUCCCGGCCUUGCCUUGCCACUUAGUCGUUUUCUUACCUAUCCCCUGCCUUUUGUGUCCGCGCUCCCCAAGGCGCUGCGACAGAGGACAGUGGCCUCGGGAAGGGCCGCAGGGCUGGGGCGGGCGGGGGAGCAGGUGGCGACACCGCGGAGGACUGGGCGGGGGGGGGGGGGGGGGGGGGGAGCCGGUGCCUCCGGGCGCGGCCGGCAGAGGGCGCGCGGGCACCGGGAUUGGCCGCGGCAGCCGAGGGAGAGCGGCCCCUGGGACCCGGGCGCGUGCGGGCACAAGGGCUGCUGGCGCUCAGAGGCCCGGCUAAAAAUACGCGCGCGCCGUCCAGGUCUCGGGGCCGAAGAGGGGGCGGCCCUCGGAAGGAGCGACCUCUGCAGCCUGGAGGGAGAAUGCAGCUUUGGGGGAGCCCGCAGGGCUCCCGAGGCACCUGGGGAGAGCCUCGCCCAGGCCUCAGUCUUCCCGUCUGCAGGAUGGGGGCCGUGUAUUUCUCCAAGAAACAGUGAGUGGCCGCUGCGGGCGUCAGGCGCGCCGCCGCCAAGUUCUUACAGCCGUGCGGUUCGGCGUCACGGGGCCGAGGCGGUGCAGGGGGAGAAUAAACGGGCAGGUGCAGGAGGCGCUCAGAUGUUCAAGCACGGAAAGAGAAGAAUAAAGGAUGAUGUGCCAGAGAGUAGGCCGCCCGGAGAAGCACAGAGGCGCGUUCCAGGGGGAGGACAGUGCCCCUGCAAAGGCCCAGAGGCCGCAGAGCCUGGCCGCUUGGGGGAAAAGAUGGAAGGUGGAGGGAACGGCCCGGGAGCCGGACGGGGCAGCCGGCACCCAGAAACCGUCGGGGUCCGCGGGGAUGUUGGGGUGCCUGGAAGGGGUCGAGGGGAGCUCUGUUUGACCGCGGUGUCGGCCGCACGGAUAAACGGAGUCGUGCAUUUUGCUCCGUGGAUUCUACCUCUGAUGCAAAAGGGAGCAUAG
Molecule: long non-coding RNA, 1188 nt
Filed under: Canis lupus familiaris (dog)
Lineage: Eukaryota; Metazoa; Chordata; Mammalia; Carnivora; Canidae
Description: lncRNA (ENSCAFG00000054914.1, ENSCAFG00805004257.1)
Source: RNAcentral